CCUGAAGCAAUAUCAAUUGCUCACACGUGGAAAUAAAAGAGCCUCCAAGUGGUAAUACCUAAUCAAAUUGGGCCAAAAAUUAUGAGGCCUCACAAUACAAUUUGAAAUGUGUUUGGCUACAGUACAAUUUGCUCGUGGCACAACUCCCACUUCUAAAUAGUGGUACCAAUUUUUAGUGUUGUGUUCGUCCUAGCACAACUCCCACUUCUAAAUAGUGGUACCAAUUUUUAGUGUUGUGUUCGUCCUAGCACAACUCCCACUUCUAAAUAGUGGUACCAAUUUUUAGUGUUGUGUUCGUCCUAGCACAACUCCCACUUCUAAAUAGUGGUACCAAUUUUUAGUGUUGUGUUCGUCCUAGCACAACUCCCACUUCUAAAUAGUGGUACCAAUUUUUAGUGUUGUGUUCGUCCUAGCACAACUCCCACUUCUAAAUAGUGGUACCAAUUUUUAGUGUUGUGUUCGUCCUAGCACAACUCCCACUUCUAAAUAGUGGUACCAAUUUUUAGUGUUGUGUUCGUCCUAGCACAACUCCCACUUCUAAAUAGUGGUACCAAUUUUUAGUGUUGUGUUCGUCCUAGCACAACUCCCACUUCUAAAUAGUGGUACCAAUUUUUAGUGUUGUGUUCGUCCUAGCACAACUCCCACUUCUAAAUAGUGGUACCAAUUUUUAGUGUUGUGUUCGUCCUAGCACAACUCCCACUUCUAAAUAGUGGUACCAAUUUUUAGUGUUGUGUUCGUCCUAGCACAACUCCCACUUCUAAAUAAGGAGAAUAUAAAAUAAAAAAUGUUAUAAUGCUCAAUAUUGUUCUAAUUUGCACCAGGUGGCUAAAACAAAUAAAAAUGAAGUAGCUCUCUUUGGUCUAAAUCAGUUUUGCAAGCUCUCAUUUUAAUAAUUAAUAGUGUCGUGAUACAGUAACAUGUUUAUAAUAGGCAGAUAUAAUGUUCUGAAUUAGGAUUUAGUUUUCUCUUCCACGAAGACGUAAAUUAAGUACCACGAAGUUGAUGAUAAACUUAUUUGAAUCUCGAAAUUUGAAAUGUUCCACAUAUAUCCAGCCUUCUUCUUUACUUGCUUAGCUUGAAGAUACAUGGGCAAAUUGGAUUAUCAAAUUAAACAUAUGCAUAAACUUCGACGAAAAAAAAUUGAAAGUGGAAAGAACCCGUAAAAUCAAAACACAUACAAAUAUGUAUGUAGAAAAUCCAAGUAUCCAAACGAACCGAAAGCUGAUACAAAUGUCCAUCAAAUUCCAUUAGCAAUACCUGCAUGUAUUAAUUAAGCAAUGAAGAAAGAAGAAUUCAUCAGAAUUGAGGCAAAUAAGAAAGAAAAUCAGGAGUUAAAUAAAUCCCAAAAAUAUAAUUAGGCAAAAAUGUAAGAUCGAUUGCAAUUUCAUUCCAGCCCUCUCAUUCCUUACCUCACAAUAUGUGAACUCCAAAAUAAUUUAUGUGCAUUUGUUGAACUUUGAAUCCCUUAAGUCAUCUACAAAAUAUAUGAUGAUUGAAUGAAUUCUUAGAAACCCAAGUUGAAAAAUUAGGUUAAAGUGAAAUAAAUUUCUUUAGGAGUUAUAUUUAUUUCAUUAAUGUAGAGAAUUAAUAAAAAAGAAUAAAACAAAGAGAGAAUAAAAGGGAAGAAUGAAGAGUAGAAAAAGAAGAAGAUAACAAGAUACAGAGAGGGAGAAACUGAGGUGAGAAAAGAAGAAAAGUAAUUAUAAAUUGGGAAAAGGAAGGUACACGUGGGUUGUUGUAUGGAUAGAAAGGACACGUAUAAUAGACGUGUCUAUUUUUGUUAAUGUGCCAUAAUUAAUUUU
RNAcentral lists this long non-coding RNA (1802 nucleotides) under Solanum tuberosum (potato). RNAcentral describes it as "long non-coding RNA (STUB_LNC002125)". Lineage: Eukaryota; Viridiplantae; Streptophyta; Magnoliopsida; Solanales; Solanaceae. The record is from RNAcentral.